UACGUAGGGGGGCUAGCGUUGUCCGGAAUCAUUGGGCGUAAAGCGCGCGUAGGCGGUCAGGUAAGUCCGGUGUGAAAAGUCAAAGGCUCAACCUUUGAAUGCCGCUGGAUACUGCUUGACUUGAGUCCGGAAGGGGCGAGUGGAAUUCCUGGGUGUAGCGGUGAAAUGCGCGAGAUAUCAGGAGGAACACCAAUGGCGAAGGCAGCUCGCUGGAACGGUACUGACGCUGAGCGCGAAAGCGUGGGGAGCGAACAGG
RNAcentral lists this ribosomal RNA (256 nucleotides) under uncultured bacterium. Its description in RNAcentral is "partial 16S ribosomal RNA". It matches the Rfam family "Bacterial small subunit ribosomal RNA", at positions 524 to 776 of the family's 1533-position model. The record is from RNAcentral.